GACGAACGCUGGCGGCGUGCUUAACACAUGCAAGUCGAACGGUGAAGCGAGUGCUUGCACUCGUGGAUCAGUGGCGAACGGGUGAGUAACACGUGAGUAACCUGCCCAUCACUCUGGGAUAAGCACUGGAAACGGUGUCUAAUACUGGAUACGACCAACCCUUGCAUGGGGUGUUGGUGGAAAGAUUUAUCGGUGAUGGAUGGACUCGCGGUCUAUCAGCUUGUUGGCGGGGUAAUGGCCCACCAAGGCGACGACGGGUAGCCGGCCUGAGAGGGUGACCGGACAGAAGGGGAAGAAGACACGGCACAGAGGAGGACGGGAGGCAACGGUGGGGAAUAGUGGACGAGGGGCGAAGGGCUGAAGCAGUGGAGGCGCGGGGGGGAAGAGGGGGUGAGGGUAGUAAAACUCGAUAAGCAGGGAAGAAGCGAAGGUGACGGUACAUGCAGAAGAAGCAAGAGCUAACUAAGU
Molecule: ribosomal RNA, 468 nt
Filed under: uncultured bacterium
Lineage: Bacteria
Description: partial 16S ribosomal RNA
Rfam family: Bacterial small subunit ribosomal RNA
Source: RNAcentral